RNA transcript from Gossypium raimondii (Peruvian cotton), 3914 nucleotides. RefSeq lists it as uncharacterized. The record is from RefSeq and is a predicted model, not a curated record. The transcript is spliced from 4 exons. Lineage: Eukaryota; Viridiplantae; Streptophyta; Magnoliopsida; Malvales; Malvaceae.
AAUACAUAACUUAUAUAAUACGACAUAACUUAUUAAUAUAUAUAUUUUAAAAUGAUACAUAACUUACAUAACUUAUUAAUACAUAACAUUUUUAAUACAUAACUUACAUAAUACGACAUAAUAACAUAAAUAUAUAUCAUAUGAUAACUUACAUAGUGAAAUAAUACCAAUGAAGUUAACAACUUACCCUUGUAAUUUCUACUGAAAAUCAGACUUGCAAGAAUUAAGAAAUGGAUUGGUCUUGGAUGAAUUUGUCAAAGGUAAGCAACGAAUAUAGAAAUGGAGUACAAACUUUUUUGAAUUUUGCAUUUCAAUAUGCAAGCCAAGAGAACAUGAUUCUUUGCCCCUGUAACAAGUGUGUCAACAUAAACUGGCAUUAUCGUGAAGUUGUAUACGAGCAUCUAGUUGUUGAUGGGUUUGUUCGGGGUUAUAAGAAAUGGUUUUUCCAUGGAGAAUGCCCGCCUAGUACUUCUUCUUCAACGAUGGACGUAUCUUAUCCUGGUCCUGCUUACCAUCAGUCCGUUGGAGGGGAUGACAUGGAAUGUAUGUUGCGGGAUGCAUUUAAUAUGCACAAUCAUGGUUUUCAGUCGUUCCCAGCCAACUUUGUGGCAUCUGAUGAUUGUAAUGUUGGUGCAAAUGCUUUUACCGAACGGGGAACAAGUGUACCUCAUGAAGAGCCGAAUGGAGAAGCGACAAAGUUCUAUGAGCUACUUAAUGAGAUGAACGAAGAACUAUAUGAGGGAUCAAAAUUCUCCAAAAUGGCUUUCUGCGUUCGUCUUUUCCAGUUAAAAUGUUUGGGAGGGUGGACCGGGAACUCUUUAACAAUGCUGCUAGAUUUUUUGAGAGAAAUAUUUCCGUUUGCAAAAAUCCCUCAGUCAUGCAAAGAUAUGAAGAAAAUGAUAAAAGACUUAGGUCUUGGGUACAACAAAAUCCAUAGUUGCCCGAAUGACUGCAUAUUGUAUUGGGGCGAUCGGAGAAAUCAACAGUGUUGUCAUGUAUGCGGCGAAUCCCGUUGGAUAAAUAGAAACACAGAAGAUGGGAACGACGAUGAAAAUGAUGCACAACCAAGAAAGAAGCCGGUCAAGAUUUUACGGUAUUUUUCGCUGAUACCAAGGCUUCAAAGGCUUUUCAUGUCAUCGAAGACAGCGGAGUCAAUGACGUGGCACCAUGAUGGACGAACCGAUGAUGGAUUAUUAAGGCAUCCGGUAGAUUCUUUAGCUUGGAAAUCAUUUGACACGAUCCUAGGAGUGUGAGGCUUGGCCUAGCAUCUGAUGGAUUUAAUCCUUAUAAGAUCAUGAGCACUGCGUACAGUACUUGGCCAGUAGUGCUUGUUUCUUACAAUCUGCCUCCGUGGAUUUGCAUGAAGCAAUCUUCCCUUAUCUUAUCUAUGAUUAUCCCUGGAGAGAAAGGGCCCGGAAAUGAUAUCGACGUUUAUUUAUAGCCACUUACUGAAGAGUUAAAAUAAUUAUGGGCUGGUGUCGAGACAUACGAUGUGCUGAGAAAGGAGAACUUUAAUUUACGUGCAGCUUUGAUGUGGACCAUUAAUGACUUCCUCGCUUAUGCCAAUUUAUCCGGUUGGAGUACAAAGGGUCGUUAUGCGUGUCCUUGUUGUGCUACACAAACAUGUUCGCAAUGGUUAUACAAUGGGAAAAAGUUCUCUUACAUGGGGCAUCGUCGGUGGUUACCGAAAAAUCAUAGAUUUAGAUUUCAGAGUUCAGUAUUUGACGGCACUGAAGAGUUCAGAGAAGCUCCUUCGCAGACAAGUGGAUCUGAUAUCUUGUUCAUGUUGAAAGAUAUAAAUUUCAGUUAUAGAAAGAUGAACCACCCGACAAACACGUAAAUAAAUAGAAGAUCAAAUGAUGAAGCUGAUGAUGACUCCGAUGAAGAGGAUGAUCCCAAUGAGGCGGACUUGUGGAAAAAAAGAAUUUGAGUUGCCUUAUUGGGAGCAUUAGCUUUUACGACACAAUCUUGAUGUUAUGCACAUUGAGAAAAAUGAUUGCGAGAACAUUGUGGGUACAAUUUUGAAUGUAGAUGGAAAAUCAAAAGACAAUCUUCAGAGUCGACUUGAUUUAGUCCAAUGGGAAUUCGACCUGAUCUUCAUCUGAAUCCACUUCUUAAUGGGAAAAAUCGGUUGUCGCCUUCUAUUUUUUCGAUGUCGAGGACAGAGAAAGAAGUGUUCUGUAUGGUGUUGAAGGAUAUAAAGGUUCCAGAUGCAUAUGCAUCAAAUAUAUCUCGAUGUGUUAGUGUUAAAGAUCAAAGACUGUAUUCGCUAAAAUCACAUGACUAUCACAUCUUGAUGCAAGAUUUAUUGCCAGUUGCUCUACGAUGUUGUAUGUCGAAGAAGGUGACGUCUUGUAUAAUUUAACUAUCCAAUAUAAUGAAAGCCAUUUGUGGCAAAGUUUUGGAUGUUCAAGAACUUCAGAAGGUACAGGAUAGAGCCGCAUUGACUUUAUGCAACAUGGAGAAAAUCUUUCCACCUUCCUUCUUCACUAUUAUGGUUCACUUGAUAAUCCAUCUCCUGGGAGAAGCAAUUCUUGGCAGACCCGUUUUCUACCGAUGGAUGUAUCCCAUAGAAAUGUGUUAAUUUAUUUUAAAAACUCUCCUUCCGUAAACCCUAUCCAAAUUAAUGUUGCAUAUCCAAAUUUAUUUUAACAACUUUUCAUAAUGUUGCAUAUCGUGUUUAGGUUCCUAUCCAAAUUAAAGUCUUACUGCCGCAACAAGCGUUAUCCAGAAGGAUCGAUUGCUGAAGCCUACUUAGCAGAGGAAUGUAUCACCUUCUGUUCAUGAUAUUUGGAUGAUGUCGAAACAAGGUUGAGCAGACCAAAUAGAAAUGCUAGACUCACGGAUCAUAACUUGACCGAUACUUAUUUGUUCCAAAGUUUUGGAGAACCAAUCGGCAAAGUGGAAAUUGCAGAAUUAGAUGGUUUUUCGUGGGUACAAGCACAUCAGUAUGUUCUGUUUCACCACGAAUCAAUGGAACCUUUACGCAAUGAGUACAAACAAAUACUGAGAUCUCGUUCGCGCUCCCGAAGAACACAACUUCGAGACAUCAAUAAGUUGUUCACAGAAUCUUUCCAUGAAUGGUUACCCGAAACGGUUUGGAGUGGGAAGAACGUGAUCGACGAAGUUAAAUGGCUUUCUCAAGGUCCAAAUCGAGUGGUUAAAAGAUAUAGUGCGUUCCUCAUAAACGGAUUCAGAUUUCAUACAAAAUAUCGCGAGAGAUUGAGGAGAACGCAAAAUUGUGGAAUAGUUAUUAAUUCCUCAAUUACUAGUUAUGCUAGUGCUAGGGACAACAACCCUGUCGAGGGAAAUGUAGAAUAUUUCGGACUUCUUACUGAUAUAAUUGAGUUGGAUUACUACGGAAAAUGGAAAGUUGUCUUAUUUCGAGGUGAUUGGGCCGAUGUUAAUACUGGUCGUGGAAUUAAGCAAGAUCAAUUUGGUUUCACAAUGGUGAACUUCACUCGAUUGAUUCAUACAGGACAACAAUUGAUUGAUGAGCCGUACGUAUUUUCUUCUCAAGUCAAACAAGUUUUUUACUCAAAAGAUCCAAUUGAUGAGGGUUGGUACGUUGUACUCCGUAACAUCCCUAGGGACUUGUUUGACAUGGGCAGUGGAAGUAGAGAUGGCAUUGACGACAGAACACAAGCUUUGUCAUUUCCAGAACAAAACUUAAACGAAAACAUCCCUAGUACUAGUACACACAGUCAAUGGGUCCGCCAGGAUACGAAUGAAGAUAUUUAUGGAUUAUAAUAUAAUAAAAUACCUAGAAGACCCGUGCGAGCGCACCGCAUUGUUCAAGGUACUCCAAACUCGACCGAAACAAACAACACUGAACAACAAACUGCUAUUGGAUCUUCGAAUAUUCCGGUUACACUUGAGGAACCUAUAGAAGAUCAAAGUAAUUUAACAUUUAA